This 70-nucleotide transfer RNA is filed under the name Ichthyborus sp. NM-2010. RNAcentral's name for it is "tRNA-Pro". It matches the Rfam family "tRNA". Rfam says of the family: Transfer RNA (tRNA) molecules are approximately 80 nucleotides in length. Their secondary structure includes four short double-helical elements and three loops (D, anti-codon, and T loops). Lineage: Eukaryota; Metazoa; Chordata; Actinopteri; Characiformes; Citharinidae. The record is from RNAcentral.
CAGAAAAUAGUUUAGUGGAGAAUUCUAGCUUUGGGUGCUAGGGGUGAAAGUUGAAAUCUUUCUUUUCUGA